RNAcentral lists this ribosomal RNA (252 nucleotides) under uncultured bacterium. RNAcentral describes it as "partial 16S ribosomal RNA". It matches the Rfam family "Bacterial small subunit ribosomal RNA", at positions 524 to 776 of the family's 1533-position model. The record is from RNAcentral.
UACGGAGGAUGCGAGCGUUAUCCGGAUUUAUUGGGUUUAAAGGGUGCGUAGGCGGGCUUUUAAGUCAGCGGUAAAAAUUCGGGGCUCAACCCCGUCCGGCCGUUGAAACUGGGGGCCUUGAGUGGGCGAGAAGUAUGCGGAAUGCGUGGUGUAGCGGUGAAAUGCAUAGAUAUCACGCAGAACUCCGAUUGCGAAGGCAGCAUACCGGCGCCCUACUGACGCUGAGGCACGAAAGCGUGGGUAUCGAACAGG